This is a non-coding RNA of Cinara cedri, 236 nucleotides long. NCBI's taxonomy places the organism in Eukaryota, Metazoa, Arthropoda, Insecta, Hemiptera, Aphididae. The record is from the annotation of a GenBank genome assembly.
AGGAAGUAAAUAUUUAUUAAACAAAUCAAUAUAACAUAAAAUAAAAUAAUAUAGAAUGGUGUUGAUUCAUUAAAGUAUAACAUAUUCAUCAUUCAGUGACAAAAUUGCAAAUUAUAUUAAUAUAAUUUAAAAUAAUUGGUAACAAGACAAAAAUGACAAUAUAAUAAAUAAAGUGAAUAAAGUAAGUACAAUUUGUAUUAUUAUAAUAGAUAUCCACUCUUAUAGAUGUAAAUAUU